RNAcentral lists this transfer RNA (77 nucleotides) under Chloroflexi bacterium 13_1_40CM_68_21. Its description in RNAcentral is "tRNA-Arg". It matches the Rfam family "tRNA". From Rfam's summary of the family: Transfer RNA (tRNA) molecules are approximately 80 nucleotides in length. Their secondary structure includes four short double-helical elements and three loops (D, anti-codon, and T loops). Lineage: Bacteria; Bacillati; Chloroflexota. RNAcentral also lists the same sequence under 1 other name. The record is from RNAcentral.
GGGCCGUUAGCUCAGUUGGAUAGAGCACCUACCUUCUAAGUAGGAGUGGGCGCGUUCGAGCCGCGCACGGCCCGCCG